GGUGAGUAACGCGUAGGAAUCUACCUAGUAGUGGGGGACAACUCGGGGAAACUCGAGCUAAUACCGCAUACGCCCUAAGGGGGAAAGCGGGGGUCUUCGGACCUCGCGCUAUUGGAUGAGCCUGCGUUGGAUUAGCUAGUUGGUAGGGUAAAGGCCUACCAAGGCGACGAUCCAUAACUGGUCUGAGAGGAUGAUCAGUCACACUGGAACUGAGACACGGUCCAGACUCC
This 230-nucleotide ribosomal RNA is filed under the name uncultured bacterium. RNAcentral's name for it is "partial 16S ribosomal RNA". It matches the Rfam family "Bacterial small subunit ribosomal RNA", at positions 105 to 339 of the family's 1533-position model. The record is from RNAcentral.